UACAGAGGGGGCAAGCGUUGUUCGGAAUUACUGGGCGUAAAGGGCGCGUAGGCGGCCUGCUAAGUCGAACGUGAAAUCCCUGGGCUCAACCCAGGAACUGCGUCCGAUACUGGUUGGCUUGAAUCCGGGAGAGGGACGUGGAAUUCCAGGUGUAGCGGUGAAAUGCGUAGAUAUCUGGAGGAACACCGGUGGCGAAGGCGGCAUCCUGGACCGGCAUUGACGCUGAGGCGCGAAAGCCAGGGGAGCAAACGGG
Molecule: ribosomal RNA, 253 nt
Filed under: uncultured bacterium
Lineage: Bacteria
Description: partial 16S ribosomal RNA
Rfam family: Bacterial small subunit ribosomal RNA
Source: RNAcentral